RNAcentral lists this long non-coding RNA (698 nucleotides) under Homo sapiens (human). RNAcentral describes it as "HSALNT0399301". Lineage: Eukaryota; Metazoa; Chordata; Mammalia; Primates; Hominidae. The record is from RNAcentral.
CCUGAACAGAGGGAGAGGGGAGUAAAUAAGGGGCUGUUGCCAGAGCCUGAGCCCACCAGAGAAAGUCUGUGUGCAGAGGGAGGGCCUCAGGUCCUGCUGCUCCUUCAUCUUGACCCCUUCACACCCUCCUCUAACAGGGACCUCGACCUCCCUUCUCCACUCUCCUGGAUCCUGCUCAGUGUGGUGCAGGCCUUCUCUGGGGCCCUGGAGUUCCCACUGACCUUCAGCCCCGCCAGUUGCAUCUGCUGUUCCCACUGAAGACUCUCAUGCUAGUCAGUUCCUGCCUGGGGUCACCAGACUGCUUCGAAGUCAGGAAGAACAUGGUGGGGACGGUGACUUGAGUUUCCUGGACCACAGUGCAGGUCCUGUUCUCUACGAGUGAAUAUCCUAAUGACCAUAAUAAAGCCAGUUCCCUUUUUGGGGACUGACAUUUGUUGAGAACUCCCCCUAUGAAUGCUGUCUUGCUGCAAAACUUCACCUCUGGAUAAAGUGGCUGUGCUCCUUCUGGAUGUCUGCAUCAGGGCUGCUGAGGCACAGCUGAGAAUGCACCACACAGCUGACUACGCUGCUGAGCAAAUCUCAUUACUAAAUGCACAUCCCUUUCAAGGAUGCCAGGCGUUAGGGCUGCAUUGCAACUUUGAUGGACACUGGGGAUUAAUGCCUGUGUGUCCUUGUUCCAUUAAAAAGUUUGAAGUUUG